ACGCUGGCGGCGUGCCUAACACAUGCAAGUCGAACGGNGUUAGUUCCUUCGGGGACAACUUAGUGGCGAACGGGUGAGUAACGCGUGAGAAACCUGCCUUUCAGUGGGGGACAACAGUUGGAAACGACUGCUAAUACCGCAUAACACUUUAGUACCGCAUGGUACAGAAGUCAAAGCUUUAUGUGCUGAAAGAUGGCCUCGCACCUGAUUAGAUAGUUGGUGAGGUAACGGCUCACCAAGUCGACGAUCAGUAGCCGGACUGAGAGGUUGAACGGCCACAUUGGGACUGAGACACGGCCCAGACUCCUACGGGAGGCAGCAGUGGGGGAUAUUGCGCAAUGGGGGAAACCCUGACCCAGCAACGCCGCGUGGAGGAAGAAGGUUUUCGGAUCGUAAACUCCUGUCCUUGGUGAAGAGCAAGAGACGGUAGCCAAGGAGGAAGCCCCGGCUAACUACGUG
This 459-nucleotide ribosomal RNA is filed under the name uncultured bacterium. RNAcentral describes it as "bacterial SSU rRNA". It matches the Rfam family "Bacterial small subunit ribosomal RNA", at positions 33 to 507 of the family's 1533-position model. The record is from RNAcentral.